AUGCCCCCGGGGACCGGGGGGGUGACAGAAGUCCCAGCCACCCAGCCUGACGCUGAGCCGCUUCUCCACGCUGGACGAGGACGCCAGCUGGCUCGGGAGCCGACAGCAGGGCGGGGCUGCCGUGGACGGGCCUCCGAAGCCCAGCAGCCGCUGCACCCACCGGUGCUGCCCUCGUCCAGCCACAGGCUCCCUCCCAGGCUGCCGGGGGAAUCCAGCCCGAAACUGGACGUGCAGCGCCCAGGGGUCCUGGGACCAGGGAGCCAACUCCUCACCCCGGCCCCCAGAGCCAGCCAGCCCCCUCCGCCCCUGUGCCCUGGGGCAGCUUUCUCCCUGCGCCUGCCUGUUCUUCGGGGUCAGACUGGAUUCCAAGCACGACCAGCCAGAGUACGGUUCCUCCCGGAGACCUGGGCUGAAGCUGGCUGGUGCUACAGGUGGACUUUCACUGCUCCAAGGGAGCAGAGCCUGGGAGCCCUGUGGGAGCUGUCGUCCCUGGGAGCCCCAGGGAUGGGUCCGUCGGCCCUCCUAGGUCCUGGGUCACCUGGUGGUGUGGGCUCCUGGGCAGCGGGGCCGGCUGACAACAGAAGCCCUGCAGCCCACCGCAGGCCGCACUCAGAGGCACCCGGGAGGUGCACCUGGGUCAGGGGCUUUGCUGGCCUGGUGCCCACGCCCCUGGGCGGAGUCGGUGGGAUUCGGGUAGUUCCCAGAGUGGGCAGGUAACCCCCGCCUCGCAAGGCUGGGGCCGGCCCUGAGCCCACUGCUCAAGCUGCCUGGGUUUCGGCCAUCAAGGGGCAAUAGGUUCCAGUACCGUGGGUAGAAGAGUGGCCAGUGCGAGGACCCAGCCUGGGCUGGAGGGGACCGGAGUCAGGAAGAGCCCCCGGGAGCGUCCUGGGCAGAGGGAUGAGAAUUGAGCCACGUCGUCUGUGUUCCUGGCCGGGAACCCGGCCAGGGCUGUCCCGGUCUGGCCCAGGGAGGCAGGGCCUGCGACACCGGCCGUGCAGAGGAAGCAGGCCCUGGCUUCAGUGGGCGGCAUCUGGAGCUGUCCAGGGAAGGCCCCAGGGGGAGGUGGCCUGAGUCCCAGGCAACACGCAUCCUGCCGGCUCCAAGGCUACUCCCAGCUCACUGCAGCCCAGCCCUGGCCCCUGCCCACCUCUCUCAAACCAACGGGGGGGGGGGGGGGGCUUUCAGCCCUGGCCCCCGGCCCCCCUCUCCCCCACCGGGGGGGGGGGGGUUUUUCACCCCGGGCCCUGCCCCGCCUUUCCCCCCCCAAAAGGGGGGGGGGGGGUUCUUAACCCUUGGCCCUGGCCCCCCCCCCCCAAAAAAAGGGGGGGGGGGGGUUUAACCCCGGGCCCCUCCCCCCCCCCCCCCCCACCAAAAGAAAGAGGGGGGGUUUUUUCCCUGGGCCCUGGGCCCCCACUACCCAAAAAAAAAAAAAAGGGGGUGGUUUUUUAACACCGGGCCCCGGCCCCUCCCCUCCCAAAAAGAAGGGGGGAGGGGGUUUUCAAGGCAAGGCCGCGCACCC
Molecule: long non-coding RNA, 1519 nt
Filed under: Oryctolagus cuniculus (rabbit)
Lineage: Eukaryota; Metazoa; Chordata; Mammalia; Lagomorpha; Leporidae
Description: lncRNA (ENSOCUG00000033118.1)
Source: RNAcentral